This 498-nucleotide ribosomal RNA is filed under the name uncultured bacterium. RNAcentral's name for it is "partial 16S ribosomal RNA". It matches the Rfam family "Bacterial small subunit ribosomal RNA", at positions 28 to 523 of the family's 1533-position model. The record is from RNAcentral.
GAUGAACGCUGGCGGCGUGCCUAAUACAUGCAAGUCGAACGCUUCACUUCGGUGAGGAGUGGCGAACGGGUGAGUAAUACAUAAGUAACCUGGCAUCUACAGGGGGAUAACUGAUGGAAACGUCAGCUAAGACCGCAUAGGUGUAGAGAUCGCAUGAACUCUAUAUGAAAAGUGCUACGGGACUGGUAGAUGAUGGACUUAUGGCGCAUUAGCUGGUUGGUAGGGUAACGGCCUACCAAGGCGACGAUGCGUAGCCGACCUGAGAGGGUGACCGGCCACACUGGGACUGAGACACGGCCCAGACUCCUACGGGAGGCAGCAGUAGGGAAUCUUCGGCAAUGGGGGAAACCCUGACCGAGCAACGCCGCGUGAAGGAAGAAGUAAUUCGUUAUGUAAACUUCUGUCAUAGAGGAAGAACGGUGGAUAUAGGGAAUGAUAUCCAAGUGACGGUACUCUAUAAGAAAGCCACGGCUAACUACGUGCCAGCCGCCGCAGUAA